UGCACAGCCAUAUCUGACAGGAUAAAUGUGUUGUAUUAUACAGGUGAUUUUCAGCGAAGAUUCAGUGAUUACAUUGACUCUACUAACAGAAUAGAUCAAAACGAUUAUUCUGAAUGUGUGUAUAUGCAUAUGUAUGACGAUACAGAUCUCUGUCUUCCUCUCUUUUACAGAUAAAAGAGAGAGUGCGUAGCAGCUAAAUAAAGCAGAGAACAAGCCCGUCUCAGGACAUCAGUCCAAAGAAGAGGAUCUACCGGCAAAGAGAUAAGAGGGGGAGGACAGGGAACAAAAGAGAGAGUUGGAGGACAAGAGAGAGAGAGAGAAAAUGGGAUAUUGCGGCAUGUGGAUCUUCCUCUUGUCCCUGUCUCUCUUCUUACAAAGCGUCACUGCAGAGGCUGAAGUAUGUCGUACAGCCAUGCCUGCUGAUAUUGUGUUCCUGGUGGAUGAUUCCUGGUCAGUGGGUCCGACCAGCUUCCAGCAGAUCAAAGAGUUCAUAGCGGACAUCAUCC
This 506-nucleotide long non-coding RNA is filed under the name Sinocyclocheilus grahami. RNAcentral's name for it is "lncRNA (ENSSGRG00000014567.1)". The record is from RNAcentral. Lineage: Eukaryota; Metazoa; Chordata; Actinopteri; Cypriniformes; Cyprinidae.